GAAAGUAAGCAAGGGCAGACGGUGGAUGCCUUGGCUCUCGGAGGCGACGAAGGACGUGAUAAGCUGCGAAAAGCCCGGGGGAGGCGCAAAUAGCCGUUGAUCCCGGGAUAUCCGAAUGGGGCAACCCGGCAGGCUGAAGGCCUGCCAUCCCGUAAGGGAGGCGAACGUGGGGAACUGAAACAUCUAAGUACCCAUAGGAGGAGAAAAUAAACAAUGAUUCCGUAAGUAGUGGCGAGCGAACACGGAAGAGCCCAAACCCAUGUCGUCUAGGCGACACGGGGGUUGUAGGACCACGACGUGGCAAGAAGGAAGGGAAAUGGAACGACUUGGAAAAGUCGGCCAUAGACGGUGAAAGCCCGGUACAUGACUCCCUUACGAAGCCUAGUGGUAUCCUGAGUAGCGCGGGGCACGAGAAAUCUUGCGUGAAGCAGCGGGGCCCAUCCCGUAAGGCUAAAUACUCCCGAGAGACCGAUAGCGAACCAGUACCGUGAGGGAAAGGUGAAAAGAACCCCGAGCAGGGGAGUGAAAUAGACCCUGAACCCGUCUGCCUACAAGCGGUCGGAGCGUCGUAAUGACGUGACGGCGUGCCUUUUGCAUAAUGAACCUACGAGUUACCUUCCCCGGCAAGGUUAAGUUCUUGAGGAACGGAGCCGAAGCGAAAGCGAGUCUGAACAGGGCGCCAAGUCGGGGGGGGUAGACGCGAAACCGAGUGAUCUACCCUUGGCCAGGUUGAAGGUUGGGUAACACCAACUGGAGGACCGGAUGGGUAAGCGUUGAAAAGCUUUCCAAUGAGCUGAGGGUAGGGGUGAAAGGCUAAUCAAACUCGGAGAUAGCUCGUACUCCCCGAAAUGCAUUUAGGUGCAGCCUCUUUAUAGUAUAUCGUGAGGUAGAGCGACUGAUUGGAUGCGAGGGCUUCACCGCCUAUCAAGUCCAGAUAAACUCCGAAUGCGCGAUAUAUAUUUACAGGGAGUGAGGGCGCGGGUGCUAAGGUCCGUGUCCGAGAGGAGAAGAAUCCAGACCACCGGCUAAGGCCCCCAAAUGAUCGUUAAGUUGAACUAACGAGGUCGGAUCGCAGAGACAGCUAGGAUGUUGGCUUGGAAGCAGCCAUUCAUUUAAAGAGUGCGUAACAGCUCACUAGUCGAGCGAUCUGGCGUGGAUAAUAAUCGGGCAUAAACGAUCUGCCGAAGCCGUGGAUGUCGCAAGACAUGGUAGGGGAGCAUUCCAUGCCGCGUCGAAGAUGAGGGAUGACCCUUGUUGGAGCGCAUGGAAAAGCAAAUGUAGGUAUGAGUAACGAUAAGGGGGGCGAGAAACCCCCCCGCCGAAAGACCAAGGUUUCCUGAUCAACGCUAAUCGGAUCAGGGUGAGUCGGGACCUAAGGCAAAGCCGAACGGCGCCGCCGAUGGAAGAAUGGGUUAAUAUUCCCAUACUGCCUCAUGGAGUGACGUGGAGACGGAGAAGUGACAGUCCUGCCGGCUGACGGAAUAGCCGGUUGAAGGGUGUAGAUAUUGAUUCCCGUAGGCAAAUCCGCGGGGAGAGUCGAACCUGAGAGUAUACGGAGCGCUUGCGCAACGUAAUAUGGACGUAACCAUGCUCCCGAGAAAAUCCGCUAAACUUAUCCAUGCGGCACCCGUACCGUAAACGGACACACGUGGUCGGGUUGAGAAUACUGAGGCGCUCGAGUGAUUCACGGUUAAGGAACUAGGCAAAUUGACCCUGUAACUUCGGGAUAAAGGGUCCUCGUCGUAAGGCGAGGCGCAGAGAAUAGGUCCAGGCAACUGUUUAACAAAAACACAUGGCUGUGCUAAAUGGAAACAUGAUGUAUACAGCCUGACACCUGCCCGGUGCCGGAAGGUUAAGAGGAGAUGUCAUCCGCGAGGAGAAGCGUUGAAUUGAAGCCCCGGUAAACGGCGGCCGUAACUAUAACGGUCCUAAGGUAGCGAAAUUCCUUGUCGGGUAAGUUC
Molecule: ribosomal RNA, 1961 nt
Filed under: human gut metagenome
Description: bacterial LSU rRNA
Rfam family: Bacterial large subunit ribosomal RNA
Source: RNAcentral